RNAcentral lists this non-coding RNA (32 nucleotides) under Mus musculus (house mouse). The record is from RNAcentral. Lineage: Eukaryota; Metazoa; Chordata; Mammalia; Rodentia; Muridae.
UGCACAUUAUUGAAGGCCACGAAAUCUCCCUU